CAUUUAAUUAGAGCCUCAAACGCUCACACUCUCCCUUUACCUAAACCUCACACUCUCCCCACGCUUACCCCCUUCUCCUCGGCGAGCUCCUCGCCGGCGAGGCCCCUUCUCCUCGGCGAGCUCCUCACCGGUGAGUCCUCGAUGGCGAGCUCAUAGGCAACGAGCAACUCCCCGCCAAUCCCUUUUACGACGAGCCCUUUAGCACGGAUCUCCUCGCCGUUGAUCUCCUCUUUGUCGUUCUCCUUGCGGGUGAGUCCUUCGCCGCAGAUCUCCUCGCCGCCAAGAUUCUCAUUGCCGAUCUCCUCUCUGACGAGCUCUCCACGGUCCCGAUUUCUAAUCGAAGAAAAAUCUGUAAAAAAAAAGCAAAAAUAUCAUCUACUGCUGCUAAAUUUUGCUUUGUAUGAAGAGAAGCACAAGGAAAUGAAUUGCUGUUGAAAUAGGAGCUGAAACAUUUUUUUUAUCGUUUUUAAGUAUUUUCUAUUUUCAAAGUUGAGAGAGGCAGGAAUGAUGUUGAACUGUAUAUCGAAUAUUAUUACUCUAUUGCUUUUAAAUUGAUUUUGCUAUUAUUUUAUUUUUAAGAUGUUGUGGAUCAGAAGACAAUUAGCCUUUUAAAUUGUUGUUAAAAGAAUAA
Molecule: long non-coding RNA, 631 nt
Organism: Ananas comosus (pineapple)
Lineage: Eukaryota; Viridiplantae; Streptophyta; Magnoliopsida; Poales; Bromeliaceae
Exons: 3
Source: RefSeq, a predicted model, not a curated record